Molecule: ribosomal RNA, 426 nt
Filed under: Megaselia zonata
Lineage: Eukaryota; Metazoa; Arthropoda; Insecta; Diptera; Phoridae
Description: partial 16S ribosomal RNA
Source: RNAcentral
UUUUAGAAAUUAAUUUAAAGUCUAACCUGCCCACUGAAUAAUUUUAAAUGGCCGCAGUAUCCUAACUGUGCAAAGGUAGCAUAAUCAUUAGUCUUUUAAUUGAAGGCUGGAAUGAAUGGUUGGAUGAAAUAUUAACUGUUUCAUAAAAAUUUAUAAUAGAAUUUUAUUUUUUAGUCAAAAAGCUAAAAUAUUAUUAAAAGACGAGAAGACCCUAUAAAUCUUUAUAUUUAGAUAAUUUUAAUUAUUUAGAUAAAUUAAAUUAUAAUUAUUUUAAAUAUUUUAUUGGGGUGAUAUUAAAAUUUAAUAAACUUUUAAUUUAAAAUUAACAUAAAUUAAUGAAUUAUUGAUCCAUUUAUUAUGAUUAAAAAAUUAAGUUACUUUAGGGAUAACAGCGUAAUUUUUUUAGAGAGUUCAUAUUGAUAAAAA